RNAcentral lists this ribosomal RNA (250 nucleotides) under uncultured bacterium. RNAcentral's name for it is "partial 16S ribosomal RNA". It matches the Rfam family "Bacterial small subunit ribosomal RNA", at positions 524 to 773 of the family's 1533-position model. The record is from RNAcentral.
UACGGGGGGGGCAAGCGUUGUUCGGAAUCACUGGGCGUAAAGGGCGCGUAGGCGGUUCGGUUUGUCAACUGUGAAAUCCCUCGGCUUAACUGAGGAAGUGCAUUUGAAACGGCCGAACUUGAGUUCGGGAGAGGGAAGCGGAAUUCCCAGUGUAGCAGUGAAAUGCUUAGAUAUUGGGAGGAACACCGGUGGCGAAGGCGGCUUCCUGGACCGACACUGACGCUGAGGCGCGAGAGCUAGGGGAGCAAAC